Molecule: transfer RNA, 85 nt
Filed under: Methylobacterium sp.
Lineage: Bacteria; Pseudomonadati; Pseudomonadota; Alphaproteobacteria; Hyphomicrobiales; Methylobacteriaceae
Description: tRNA-Leu
Rfam family: tRNA
About the family: Transfer RNA (tRNA) molecules are approximately 80 nucleotides in length. Their secondary structure includes four short double-helical elements and three loops (D, anti-codon, and T loops).
Source: RNAcentral
GCCCCCUUGGCGGAACCGGUAGACGCACGCGACUUAAAAUCGCGAGCCGCAUGGCGUGCCGGUUCGAGUCCGGCAGGGGGCACCA